AAAUUCAACUCAGCUGGAUAGAGUACUCGGCUACGAACCGAGCGGUCGGAGGUUCGAAUCCUCCCGGAUGCACCA
RNAcentral lists this transfer RNA (75 nucleotides) under Klebsiella pneumoniae. Its description in RNAcentral is "tRNA-Arg". The stretch from base 7 to 64 matches the Rfam family "tRNA", at positions 9 to 63 of the family's 71-position model. From Rfam's summary of the family: Transfer RNA (tRNA) molecules are approximately 80 nucleotides in length. Their secondary structure includes four short double-helical elements and three loops (D, anti-codon, and T loops). Lineage: Bacteria; Pseudomonadati; Pseudomonadota; Gammaproteobacteria; Enterobacterales; Enterobacteriaceae. The record is from RNAcentral.